This 502-nucleotide ribosomal RNA is filed under the name uncultured bacterium. Its description in RNAcentral is "partial 16S ribosomal RNA". It matches the Rfam family "Bacterial small subunit ribosomal RNA", at positions 30 to 523 of the family's 1533-position model. The record is from RNAcentral.
AUUGAACGCUGGCGGCAGGCUUAACACAUGCAAGUCGAGCGGGGUGAUGGUGCUUGCACUAUCACUUAGCGGCGGACGGGUGAGUAAUGCUUAGGAAUCUGCCUAUUAGUGGGGGACAACAUCUCGAAAGGGAUGCUAAUACCGCAUACGUCCUACGGGAGAAAGCAGGGGAUCACUUGUGACCUUGCGCUAAUAGAUGAGCCUAAGUCGGAUUAGCUAGUUGGUGGGGUAAAGGCCUACCAAGGCGACGAUCUGUAGCGGGUCUGAGAGGAUGAUCAGCCACACUGGGACUGAGACACGGCCCAGACUCCUACGGGAGGCAGCAGUGGGGAAUAUUGGACAAUGGGGGAACCCUGAUCCAGCCAUGCCGCGUGUGUGAAGAAGGCCUUAUGGUUGUAAAGCACUUUAAGCGAGGAGGAGGCUCUUUUGGUUAAUACCCAAGAUGAGUGGACGUUACUCGCAGAAUAAGCACCGGCUAACUCUGUGCCAGCAGCCGCCGCGG